UAGGGAAUCUUCCGCAAUGGGCGAAAGCCUGACGGAGCAACGCCGCGUGAGUGAUGAAGGUCUUCGGAUCGUAAAACUCUGUUAUUAGGGAAGAACAAAUGUGUAAGUAACUAUGCACGUCUUGACGGUACCUAAUCAGAAAGCCACGGCUAACUACGUGCCAGCAGCCGCGGUAAUACGUAGGUGGCAAGCGUUAUCCGGAAUUAUUGGGCGUAAAGCGCGCGUAGGCGGUUUUUUAAGUCUGAUGUGAAAGCCCACGGCUCAACCGUGGAGGGUCAUUGGAAACUGGAAAACUUGAGUGCAGAAGAGGAAAGUGGAAUUCCAUGUGUAGCGGUGAAAUGCGCAGAGAUAUGGAGGAACACCAGUGGCGAAGGCGACUUUCUGGUCUGUAACUGACGCUGCUGUGCGAAAGCGUGGGGAUCAAACAGG
This 429-nucleotide ribosomal RNA is filed under the name Actinomycetes bacterium. Its description in RNAcentral is "Actinobacteria bacterium partial 16S ribosomal RNA". It matches the Rfam family "Bacterial small subunit ribosomal RNA", at positions 355 to 776 of the family's 1533-position model. The record is from RNAcentral. Lineage: Bacteria; Bacillati; Actinomycetota; Actinomycetes.